GGACGAACGCUGGCGGCGUGCUUAACACAUGCAAGUCGAACGAGAAUCCGUGGAAAGAGAUUACGGUCAAUGGAAGCGGAGGAAAGUGGCGGACGGGUGAGUAACGCGUGAGGAACCUGCCUUAGAGAGGGGGACAACAGCUGGAAACGGCUGCUAAUACCGCAUGACAUAUCGCUGUCGCAUGGCGGCGAUAUCAAAAGAUUUAUCGCUCUGAGAUGGCCUCGCGUCUGAUUAGCUUGUUGGCGGGGUAACGGCCCACCAAGGCGACGAUCAGUAGCCGGACUGAGAGGUUGAACGGCCACAUUGGGACUGAGAUACGGCCCAGACUCCUACGGGAGGCAACAGGUGGGGAAUAUUGGGCAAAUGGGCGCAAGCCUGACCCAGCAACGCCGCGUGAAGGAAGAAGGCUUUCGGGUUGUAAACUUCUUUUAAGGGGGAAGAGUAGAAGACGGUACCCCUAGAAUAAGCCACGGCUAACUACGUGCCAGCCGCGGC
This 495-nucleotide ribosomal RNA is filed under the name uncultured bacterium. Its description in RNAcentral is "bacterial SSU rRNA". It matches the Rfam family "Bacterial small subunit ribosomal RNA", at positions 27 to 518 of the family's 1533-position model. The record is from RNAcentral.